GUGUCAGCAGCCGCGGUAAUACGUAGGGUGCGAGCGUUAAUCGGAAUUACUGGGCGUAAAGAGUGCGUAGGCGGUUCGUUAUGUCUGUGGUGAAAGCCCUGGGCUCAACCUAGGAAUGGCCAUGGAAACUGGCGGGCUGGAGUAUGGCAGAGGGGGGUGGAAUUCCGCGUGUAGCAGUGAAAUGCGUAGAGAUGCGGAGGAACACCGAUGGCGAAGGCAGCCCCCUGGGCUAAUACUGACGCUGAGGCACGAAAGCGUGGGGAGCAAACAGGAUUAGAUACCCGGGUAGUCC
This 292-nucleotide ribosomal RNA is filed under the name uncultured bacterium. RNAcentral's name for it is "partial 16S ribosomal RNA". It matches the Rfam family "Bacterial small subunit ribosomal RNA", at positions 505 to 796 of the family's 1533-position model. The record is from RNAcentral.